Molecule: non-coding RNA, 85 nt
Organism: Mycena filopes
Lineage: Eukaryota; Fungi; Basidiomycota; Agaricomycetes; Agaricales; Mycenaceae
Source: the annotation of a GenBank genome assembly
ACCACCUUCGCCUAGUGGUACAUGUCCCGCAUUCGUUUCAAUUUGAGAAUGCGAAACAUCCCAGGUUCGAUUCCUGGAGGCGGAG